ACAACUUUGAAUGAAGGGAAAUGCCCAAGAUGUCCUGAUCUGACUAAUUAGUUUUAUUCUUUCGGGCUUGCUAAGCAUUUCUAAAGCAUUAGACUAACAGAUUCCUGUGAAGUUCUGUGCAUAUGUCCCAGCCUCAACAUCUAUCAAAGUCUGGAAACAGAUGUUUUCAGUGCUGCUGAGAGAAACAAAAAAUUUCCUAAUGCAUCUGAGAGAUAAGCUUCGGCAGUAUUACAAGAAGAUUAAAGUGGCAGACACCCCUUCCAGCGGAAGUUACUAAUUCGGACCUGACUGAUGCAGUUCCCAUAGCAACCCAUGUUUCCUGGGAAACCCGAAAAAGGUUGUCAUGGCAUCUCUUGCUCUCUAGCCCCACCUUCCAGUCCCUGCUGUUUCCACAGUAACCUUUCCAGAUGGUUCCUACUUAAAUGAUUUCAUAAAGGAAAACCACUGUUUGAAUAAACUGCAAAAAUAAAGUUAAGUCUGAGACUCUAAGGAGGUGAAAUGAAUCCCAAAUGCAUUUUUUAACUAUGAAAAUCAUUGAUGUCAUUCCAUAAUGACUGAAUCAAGAAGGAAAAUAUGGUAUUUGGAAUGUUACAUAUUAACCACAAUAAGGCAUGAUCUGGAUUAAGUGCCAUUUAUUAGGCAAUAAUUUUUAAAGAUGCUUCUCUACAGUUUUCUUUCUCCAAGAAUUUUCAAGCCAACAAAUGGAAUUUAAAAGCAAAUGUAAAAGUGUUCUGUACAUAAGCAAAUGAGAGAUACAAUCAAUGUACCUGAAACCUUACAACAAAGGAUCUUCAGGCUUUCUCUUUAAAAAAAAAAAAAAAAAAAAAAAUACAGAUCCCACAACAGCUCUGUCAUCAUCACAGCACUUGACAAGCCAAGUAAACUUCAAAUAGAUGAAGGAUGCACGUUUUAAACUGAAUGAAUUGCAGACAAUCAAUAAAAAGGAGGGACAGGAAGUAACCAGCUCUUGGGAGAACACCUGCAGCUUUCAGCCAUAUGCCAAGGGUUGCCAGAAGACAGACAGAAUCAGAUCCCUGAAGAGACCCCCACAUAAAGAACUGUAGAGCUGCACUGACCAGUAGGAUGCUCCAUUUUAAAUUGCCUGGAUCAAGAAUGCAGUGGCAAUUAUAUCACUGAUGGGCAAUGAUCCACCUGACAGCAUAUAUUUUUAUUUCAGUUGACAUUAAAUAAUAUGUCUCUAACAAAUGCUUUAUAUAAAGGGAACAACUCUGACGUCGGAGGAUUUGCUUCAUAUUGUGUGCCAUAUAAAAGACAUUUGAUCAAUAGAUGAAGAAUCUUGAAAAUAUUAAGGUAUUAUUGCAACCUUUCGACAUUUUGAUGAAAUCAAAUCAUCCAAAAACUAUAAUCAGUGCUGCAGAUAAAGAAAGCCUA
Molecule: long non-coding RNA, 1392 nt
Filed under: Saimiri boliviensis boliviensis (Bolivian squirrel monkey)
Lineage: Eukaryota; Metazoa; Chordata; Mammalia; Primates; Cebidae
Description: lncRNA (ENSSBOG00000036442.1)
Source: RNAcentral